GUAGGGAUGUAGCUCAGUGGCAAAGCUCUUGUCUAGUAUGCGUGAGGCACUGGGUUCAAUCCUCAGCACUACA
RNAcentral lists this transfer RNA (73 nucleotides) under Marmota monax (woodchuck). Its description in RNAcentral is "tRNA.Thr". The record is from RNAcentral. Lineage: Eukaryota; Metazoa; Chordata; Mammalia; Rodentia; Sciuridae.